AAAUACAUUCUUUCUGGUUUUCUCAGAGAUGUCCCACCCAUUUCACGUACCACACCACACUGCUGGCUCUAGCAGUCUGACAGAUUGGGGGAGUUUGGAGACCACGAAAGUGGCAGGCUGCUCCUCCAUAUCUCUCGUCUCAAGCCUCUCACAACACCCACAUUCUUCCUCCAUCAGGAACCCAAAGAACUGAUGAUUUCUGGUAUUUCCCUACACUGGAGUUGAGGGUAUUUUUCUUCUCCCCAGGGGCAAGGGUGGGAGUGGCCAGUUUUUAUCUGAUUCAGAAGCUGUGUAUCAAGAGCUUGGGGAGAGUCUGGUAUGGGGAGUGAAAGAGAAGGGGGUUUCUCCCAUCAGUAUCUAUGCAUAAAUGCAUACAAAAUGGGUGUUGUGAUUAUUUGAUUUUUGUCUGGUGCAGGGCACAUAGAAGGAUGGAUAGAUGAUAGAUAGAUAAAUAGAUAACAUAAUGUAGACAUCUCGGGUAGGGUAAUUGCGUGUGUGUGCGCAUAACGGAAUCUGCGCGUAUCUGCACAGUGUGUGUACAGGGUCUACGUAGUUGUUUUUGCAGACUCUGUGCCUACAUGUUGAAGAAGUGCUCGUUUUAGUAAACCUGGGGAGUAUCAUAUAUGGGCAGGUGGGGCUCGUGCCGAGAGCUUUUCUGUUUAAAUGUGCCCACCACCUGGUUGCGUGCUGACACCUUCUCCAUUCCACAGCAGUGAUAACCGUACUUUUCAACAAGUCUUAGGAGGGCAUUUCUUUGAGGACUGAGGGGGAGGGAAGGUAGAGGGCGCCAUAUCUGGGACCGUAGCUAGGUUGUGGAAGUAUGGGGUGGGGUGAGGGGUGCGUGGUUUUCUCUGUGUGGGUUGGAAUGUUGUUGUGCCCAGAUGCGAGUGUAUUUGUGCACGGGAUGUCGGGGUCCUCCUUCUGCCUGCGCCGGCAUACAUCUGCCUGGCAGUCUGCCGCCUCAGCAAGCAAGGGGAGCGGAGCGCGGGAGAGAGGACCCGAGAGCUGA
This 1009-nucleotide long non-coding RNA is filed under the name Sus scrofa (pig). RNAcentral describes it as "lncRNA (ENSSSCG00035031999.1)". The record is from RNAcentral. Lineage: Eukaryota; Metazoa; Chordata; Mammalia; Artiodactyla; Suidae.